CAUACUUUGUAUUAUUACAUAUAAUACAUAAAAACAACCCAAAUUUUUAGAAGACAAUUAAACAUAUGUCAUCUAAUUAUUUUCUAGUUCUUAGGGACCCAAACAAUGUGAUCUUGUGGAAGGAAAUGACAAACAGGGACGGAUCCAGGUGUAACCUUAAGAACUUUAAAAGCCAAAUGUUUUGGGUUCCAUUGUGAUGUGUCUUUGUGACAAACAGCCACAGCCUUAACUUUUGUUCCAUCAACACCAACUAAUGAUACCAUGUAUGACUCUGUUGUUUCUGUUUUGUGACAAUAAAAUACUGCAUAGGCAUAGUUUUGUUUGUGACAAACUACUGAUUUGUCAUUGUUGUUUCCCAUUUUCUUGGCUCCUAGGAUUGUGUAUUUUUGCAUUUCUGUGUUUUCUUUUUGUGUCUCUGUUGAUAAUGGUUGCACUUUGUUUCCUAACUUUGAUGUGGUGAAAUCAAUCAUGGAUUCUAAUGAAGUUGCACAAUACUUCUCCUCUCCUUUAAUACCUGCGGAAAUUUUUUUUUUAAACUCCGUGUCAAAUCACCAGAUUAAAAUUGUUUUCUUAAUCUAUUAACUUUUGUAUCAAGUUAAUAUAAAAAAAAAAAAUUGAAACAAAGAGAAAUUUUUUGUGUAUAUAUUUUAAUUUCAUUAGUAAUAGAGUGAUAAUAUUCCAUAGUAAGUUAAAUUGCACUUACUAUAUCCUAGUAAAAUCAUGAUUGGUUUGCAAAAACUAAUAUUUUUUUAAAAAAAUUAAUCUAGUAGUACUAUAUAAUGAUGCAUUUAAUUGAAUCUCGACACUGUAAAUACUAAUCCCUCAAUCUCUAUUUAGUUGUCCACUUUAGAAAAGACAUACAUAUUAACAUAAUAAUAAUUAACAUGGUGAAGUUAUAAUUUUAUCCUUAUUAAAUAUAAUUUUAAAAAAAAUGAAUUAAAACACAGAAAUAUUCAAAAAGUUUAAAUGAGAGUAUAAUAGAAUUUUUUUUUGUUCUUUCUUGAUUUGUCAAAAUGAACAAAUAAAUAGGGACAUCUAAAAAAGGAAAUAUGGACAAAUAAAUAGGGACAGAGAGAGUAUUUAUCUCAAAUUACCUACUUACCUUUUUUUUUAAAGAAAGAAUGAUUCUUAUUUUUUUUUUUGGAUUUUUUCUAUGUUUGAAGCUUCAACUAAAUUUAAAUUUGAAUUUUAUUCUGCAAAACUCACUCGAGGGUGACGCUCCCAACAUGAUUUUUUCCAUACGCAGAGCUCAAACUCUGGUUAAGGAUGAAGUACUCCUAGUGAUGCACCAUACUUAAUAAAAAGAUUUUAAAAGUGUAUCUCUUUUUUCUCAUAUCUCGUGUCAAAGUCAAACAACAUCACAUAAAUUGAAGCGGGAAAGAGUAUACCUGGCUCUUCACAUUCUCUUACUGUCUUCUUCAUAAUCUGACCUUCUUCACUAUCCUCAUCCACUGAAAACUUGUGAAGUAUCUCCGGCAUCUUCUCUGAGCUAAACGGAAUCGAAUCCGCCUCUUGACGGGGCAAAAACGAAGCUCCAUUGCCAUUUUCCACAAACUUCAACUUCAUGUUACUUCCCUCAUGCAAAUCUUUUUCCAGGAAAAAUAACGCCACGUUAGGGUUAUCGUUAAGUUGAUCGUCUUUCGCCGCGUAAUUGUAAACAAACGGUGAGGGUCCAGGGUGAACACCCACGGAGACUGGUGGUUUUCCAUGGUGGCCGGGGGUUGUAACACCAACUCCUCCUUUAC
This 1745-nucleotide long non-coding RNA is filed under the name Solanum lycopersicum (tomato). RNAcentral's name for it is "long non-coding RNA (SLYC_LNC000565)". The record is from RNAcentral. Lineage: Eukaryota; Viridiplantae; Streptophyta; Magnoliopsida; Solanales; Solanaceae.